ACCUUUGACAUGGCAGGUAAUCCUGAAGAGAUUUGGGAGUGCUCGAAAGAGAACCUGCACACAGGUGCUGCAUGGCUGUCGUCAGCUCGUGUCGUGAGAUGUUGGGUUAAGUCCCGCAACGAGCGCAACCCUUGUCAUUAGUUGCCAUCAUUUGGUUGGGCACUCUAAUGAGACUGCCGGUGGACAAAACCGGGAGGAAGGUGGGGAUGACGUCAAGUCCUCAUGGCCCUUAUGGGUAGGGCUUCACACGUCAUACAAUGGUCGGUACAGAGGGUUGCCAACCCGCGAGGGGGAGCUAAUCCCACAAAGCCGAUCGUAGUCCGGAUCGCAGUCUGCAACUCGACUGCGUGAAGUCGGAAUCGCUAGUAAUCGUGGAUCAGCAUGUCACGGUGAAUACGUUCCCGGGUCUU
This 410-nucleotide ribosomal RNA is filed under the name uncultured Rhodocyclaceae bacterium. Its description in RNAcentral is "bacterial SSU rRNA". It matches the Rfam family "Bacterial small subunit ribosomal RNA", at positions 977 to 1382 of the family's 1533-position model. Lineage: Bacteria; Pseudomonadati; Pseudomonadota; Betaproteobacteria; Rhodocyclales; Rhodocyclaceae. The record is from RNAcentral.